Molecule: ribosomal RNA, 460 nt
Filed under: uncultured bacterium
Lineage: Bacteria
Description: partial 16S ribosomal RNA
Rfam family: Bacterial small subunit ribosomal RNA
Source: RNAcentral
CCUACGGGAGGCAGCAGUGAGGAAUAUUGGUCAAUGGGCUUACGCCUGAACCAGCCAAGUCGCGUGAGGGAAGACUGCCCUAUGGAUUGUAAACCUCUUUUGUCAGGGAGCAAUUGGCGCUACGUGUAGCGUUAUCGAGAGUACCUGAAGAAAAAGCAUCGGCUAACUCCGUGCCAGCAGCCGCGGUAAUCCGGAGGAUGCGAGCGUUAUCCGGAUUUAUUGGGUUUAAAGGGUGCGUAGGCGGAAUGCCAAGUCAGCGGUAAAAUCGCGGGGCUCAACCUCGCUCCGCCGUUGAAACUGGCGUUCUUGAGUGGGCGAGAAGUAUGCGGAAUGCGUGGUGUAGCGGUGAAAUGCAUAGAUAUCACGCAGAACUCCGAUUGCGAAGGCAGCAUACCGGCGCCCAACUGACGCUGAAGCACGAAAGCGUGGGUAGCGAACAGGAUUAGAUACCCGAGUAGUC